GGACGUGUGGCCGAGAGGUCUAAGGCGCUAGCUUCAGGAAAUUGAGUAUGCUAGUCUCUUCGGAGGCGUGAGUUCGAACCUCACCGCGUUCA
Molecule: non-coding RNA, 92 nt
Organism: Komagataella pastoris
Lineage: Eukaryota; Fungi; Ascomycota; Pichiomycetes; Pichiales; Pichiaceae
Source: the annotation of a GenBank genome assembly